UAUUGGUCAAUGGGCGUAAGCCUGAACCAGCCAAGUCGCGUGAGGGAUGAAGGUUCUAUGGAUCGUAAACCUCUUUUAUAAGGGAAUAAAGUGCGGGACGUGUCCUGUUUUGUAUGUACCUUAUGAAUAAUGAUCGGCUAACUCCGUGCCAGCAGCCGCGGUAAUACGGAGGAUCCGAGCGUUAUCCGGAUUUAUUGGGUUUAAAGGGGGCGUAGGCGGCCUUUCAAGUCAGCGGUGAAAGUAUGUGGCUCAACCAUAGAAUUGCCGUUGAAACUGGGGGGCGUGAGGAUGUUUGAGGCAGGCGGAAUGCGUGGUGUAGCGGUGAAAUGAUUAGAUAUCACGCAGAACCCCGAUUGCGAAGGCAGCCUGCCAAGCCAUGACUGACGCUGAUGCACGAAAGCGUGGGGAUCAAACAGG
RNAcentral lists this ribosomal RNA (417 nucleotides) under uncultured bacterium. RNAcentral describes it as "bacterial SSU rRNA". It matches the Rfam family "Bacterial small subunit ribosomal RNA", at positions 362 to 776 of the family's 1533-position model. The record is from RNAcentral.